GAAGGCCUCAAACUGUCAGAAGGCAAACUGUCAGUGCAGUUUACAAUUUAAAAAGACAAGGCUCGUGUGCGUGUCGUGCGUGAUGCGGCAUUCCUGGAAAUGGUGUUUGUGUGUGACCUUAGUAAUGCAAGUGUAAUCCGUGAACUUUGAGUGCAAGAGAACAUACCCAGACAGAAUAUGAACUACGAGAUGGUCAUGUCACUCAUGUGUUGGUAAAAGUGUAUCAACUUGUCGUUCGCCCUGUCAGGGGUGUUUUCCUGGAGUGACGGUGUAGCCUAACGAAGAAUGGAACAUCGAAGCGAAAGGCAAACUACUGAUGUAGUCCACCACAAUCCACAGGCACGGUGACGAAGGUGCUGCCGGAUAGGAGGGAGGCAGUGAGAAGAGGUCCUUUGAGCACGUUUGUAUAGCCAGGGUCCCGAAGAACUGCCCGGGGGAGACACACAUGUGAAGACACCAAAUGGACCGAGCAGGGUGAGACUGCCAUCCUACCCAGCCUUCACUCUCGGCAAGCCCUUCGCCACGCCGCCCUCUCCUGUGAUAGCGGCACGCGGCCGGAGGAGCCUGGCCGCUUUGAUCCCCGCCUAGCAACUCUGGGCAGGAAAACAACGUCGAGGCAAGCAUUAUUGAAAUUUCCCCUAACGUGAGCGAUCCUUUGAGAGGGAAAAAGCUGAUUAUGGUAAGGACGCGCUCCACAAUAUUUUUUGUAACAUUGUUUCGGCGACACGCUACACUCUUCAAAGCAAUGGGAGGUGUGGCCGUAAUGGGAUUAGUAAGGUGAUGUUGAAAAUUCAGUUUGUGCUUCUCUUCUAAACAUGACGUAAUUUCUUGCUGCUGUUUCUUUUUUAUUAGAGUUUCGGUGAUGUGGUUCCUUCAAAGAAAUGGCAGGUGAGGGUCCAGGGGAAUAAAUGAGGUAUUAUCGAGGAUCAAACUUGGAUUUCCCUGAAAGAUACGCCCCAAGUUAUCGUUUAUUUAAUCAGAACAUGCUGGUGCACAAAUUUUGCACUGCUGUAA
This is a long non-coding RNA of Scylla paramamosain (green mud crab), 1014 nucleotides long. RefSeq lists it as uncharacterized. The transcript has 3 exons. The record is from RefSeq and is a predicted model, not a curated record. Lineage: Eukaryota; Metazoa; Arthropoda; Malacostraca; Decapoda; Portunidae.